RNAcentral lists this ribosomal RNA (316 nucleotides) under uncultured bacterium. RNAcentral's name for it is "bacterial SSU rRNA". It matches the Rfam family "Bacterial small subunit ribosomal RNA", at positions 28 to 334 of the family's 1533-position model. The record is from RNAcentral.
GAUGAACGCCGGCGGCGUGCCUAAUACAUGCAAGUCGAGCGAACGGAUAAGGAGCUUGCUCCUUUGAAGCUAGCGGCGGAUGGGUGAGUAACACGUGGGUAAUCUACCUAUAAGACUGGAAUAACUUCGGGAAACCGGAGCUAAUGCCGGAUAACAUUUGGAACCGCGUGGUUCUAAAGUAAAGAUGGUUUUGCUAUCACUUAUAGAUGGACCCGCGCCGUAUUAGCUAGUUGGUAAGGUAACGGCUUACCAAGGCAACGAUACGUAGCCGACCUGAGAGGGUGAUCGGCCACACUGGAACUGAGACACGGUCCAG